Molecule: ribosomal RNA, 569 nt
Filed under: uncultured eukaryote
Lineage: Eukaryota
Description: eukaryotic LSU rRNA
Rfam family: Eukaryotic large subunit ribosomal RNA
Source: RNAcentral
UUUCUGCCCAGUGCUCUGAAUGUUAAAGCGAAGAAAUUCGACCAAGCGCGGGUAAACGGCGGGAGUAACUAUGACUCUCUUAAGGUAGCCAAAUGCCUCGUCAUCUAAUUAGUGACGCAUGAAUGGAUUAACGAGAUUCUCACUGUCCCUACUUACACCCCGGCGAAACCACAGCCAAGGGAACGGGCUUGGCGGAAUCGGCGGGGAAAGAAGACCCUGUUGAGCUUGACUCUAGUCGAACGUCGAGGAACAGCACGGACGAACGUAGCAUAGGUGGGAGGCUCCGGCCGAACCUGAAAUACCACCGUCUCCGUCGUUGUUCUUCUCAUUUGGUGGUGUAGGGAUGGGGCGAAGCCCCUUUUUCUGGAGACGGCCGCGACGCGCGCCCGUCCGGGCUCCGUCGCUCGCGCGAGCGAGCGGCGGGGUCCGGCAGGCCUCCGCCCGCGGCGCCUAAUCCGAAGACGUCGUUCGGUGGGGAGUUUGGCUGGGGCGGCACAUCCGUUAAAAGGCAACGCGGGUGUCCAAAGGGGAGCUCGGCGAGAAGGGAAAUCUCGCGUCGAACGAAAGGG